This 1047-nucleotide ribosomal RNA is filed under the name Escherichia coli. RNAcentral's name for it is "partial 23S ribosomal RNA". It matches the Rfam family "Bacterial large subunit ribosomal RNA", at positions 165 to 1251 of the family's 2925-position model. Lineage: Bacteria; Pseudomonadati; Pseudomonadota; Gammaproteobacteria; Enterobacterales; Enterobacteriaceae. The record is from RNAcentral.
CAUAGGUUAAUGAGGCGAACCGGGGGAACUGAAACAUCUAAGUACCCCGAGGAAAAGAAAUCAACCGAGAUUCCCCCAGUAGCGGCGAGCGAACGGGGAGCAGCCCAGAGCCUGAAUCAGUAUGUGUGUUAGUGGAAGCGUCUGGAAAGGCGCGCGAUACAGGGUGACAGCCCCGUACACAAAAAUGCACAUGCUGUGAGCUCGAUGAGUAGGGCGGGACACGUGGUAUCCUGUCUGAAUAUGGGGGGACCAUCCUCCAAGGCUAAAUACUCCUGACUGACCGAUAGUGAACCAGUACCGUGAGGGAAAGGCGAAAAGAACCCCGGCGAGGGGAGUGAAAAAGAACCUGAAACCGUGUACGUACAAGCAGUGGGAGCACGCUUAGGCGUGUGACUGCGUACCUUUUGUAUAAUGGGUCAGCGACUUAUAUUCUGUAGCAAGGUUAACCGAAUAGGGGAGCCGAAGGGAAACCGAGUCUUAACUGGGCGUUAAGUUGCAGGGUAUAGACCCGAAACCCGGUGAUCUAGCCAUGGGCAGGUUGAAGGUUGGGUAACACUAACUGGAGGACCGAACCGACUAAUGUUGAAAAAUUAGCGGAUGACUUGUGGCUGGGGGUGAAAGGCCAAUCAAACCGGGAGAUAGCUGGUUCUCCCCGAAAGCUAUUUAGGUAGCGCCUCGUGAAUUCAUCUCCGGGGGUAGAGCACUGUUUCGGCAAGGGGGUCAUCCCGACUUACCAACCCGAUGCAAACUGCGAAUACCGGAGAAUGUUAUCACGGGAGACACACGGCGGGUGCUAACGUCCGUCGUGAAGAGGGAAACAACCCAGACCGCCAGCUAAGGUCCCAAAGUCAUGGUUAAGUGGGAAACGAUGUGGGAAGGCCCAGACAGCCAGGAUGUUGGCUUAGAAGCAGCCAUCAUUUAAAGAAAGCGUAAUAGCUCACUGGUCGAGUCGGCCUGCGCGGAAGAUGUAACGGGGCUAAACCAUGCACCGAAGCUGCGGCAGCGACGCUGAUGCGUUGUUGGGUAGGGGAGCGUUCUGUAAGCCUG